Molecule: non-coding RNA, 43 nt
Filed under: Sinorhizobium fredii NGR234
Lineage: Bacteria; Pseudomonadati; Pseudomonadota; Alphaproteobacteria; Hyphomicrobiales; Rhizobiaceae
Source: RNAcentral
AGCAUUGCCCCCGGCAGAAAUGCCGGGGGCAAUGUUUGAAUUC